This 789-nucleotide ribosomal RNA is filed under the name uncultured Methanoculleus sp. RNAcentral describes it as "bacterial SSU rRNA". It matches the Rfam family "Archaeal small subunit ribosomal RNA", at positions 85 to 879 of the family's 1478-position model. The record is from RNAcentral. RNAcentral also lists the same sequence under 11 other names. Lineage: Archaea; Methanobacteriati; Methanobacteriota; Methanomicrobia; Methanomicrobiales; Methanomicrobiaceae.
ACGGCUCAGUAACACGUGGAUAACCUGCCCUAAGGAAGGGGAUAACCUCGGGAAACUGAGGAUAAUACCCUAUAGGUUACAGACGCUGGAAUGCCCUGUAACCGAAAGUUCCGGCGCCUUAGGAUGGAUCUGCGGCCGAUUAGGUUGUUGUUGGGGUAACGGCCCAACAAGCCGAUAAUCGGUACGGGUUGUGGGAGCAAGAGCCCGGAGUUGGAUUCUGAGACAUGAAUCCAGGCCCUACGGGGCGCAGCAGGCGCGAAAACUUUACAAUGCGGGAAACCGUGAUAAGGGAACCCCGAGUGCCUGUAUAUGCAGGCUGUCCAGGUGUCUAAAAAACACCUGAAGAAAGGGCCGGGCAAGACCGGUGCCAGCCGCCGCGGUAAUACCGGCGGCUCGAGUGGUGGCCACUUUUAUUGGGCUUAAAGCGUUCGUAGCUGGGUUGUUAAGUCUCUUGGGAAAUCUGACGGCUCAACCGUCAGGCGUCCAAGGGAUACUGGCAAUCUUGGAACCGGGAGAGGUGAGGGGUACUUCGGGGGUAGGAGUGAAAUCCUGUAAUCCUCGAGGGACCACCUGUGGCGAAGGCGCCUCACCAGAACGGCUUCGACAGUGAGGGACGAAAGCUGGGGGAGCAAACCGGAUUAGAUACCCGGGUAGUCCCAGCCGUAAACGAUGCGCGUUAGGUGUAUCGGUGACCACGAGUCACCGAGGUGCCGAAGGGAAACCGUGAAACGUGCCGCCUGGGAAGUACGGUCGCAAGGCUGAAACUUAAAGGAAUUGGCGGGGGAGCAC